Molecule: unclassified non-coding RNA, 252 nt
Filed under: Hevea brasiliensis (rubber tree)
Lineage: Eukaryota; Viridiplantae; Streptophyta; Magnoliopsida; Malpighiales; Euphorbiaceae
Source: RNAcentral
GCCUCGAUCACCGGUGCGGCUGCGGAAGGGACGCUGUUCACCUUCGGCCCCGAUCCGCGCAACAAGCCGACCGCGAAGGCCAUCGUCGAGAAGUUCAAGGCGAAGGGCAUCGAUCCAGAAGGCUACACGCUCUACACCUACGCUUCGUUCCAGGUCUGGUCGCAGGCCGUGAACAAGAUCAAGAGCACCGAUCCGAAGAAGGUCAUCGAGGCCAUCAAGGGCGGCGAAUGGGACACAGUGCUGGGCAAGCUG